GGGUUGUGAGGUUAAGCGACUAAGCGUACACGGUGGAUGCCCUGGCAGUCAGAGGCGAUGAAGGACGUGCUAAUCUGCGAUAAGCGCCGGUAAGGUGAUAUGAACCGUUAUAACCGGCGAUUUCCGAAUGGGGAAACCCAGUGUGAUUCGUCACACUAUCAUUAACUGAAUCCAUAGGUUAAUGAGGCGAACCGGGGGAACUGAAACAUCUAAGUACCCCGAGGAAAAGAAAUCAACCGAGAUUCCCCCAGUAGCGGCGAGCGAACGGGGAGGAGCCCAGAGCCUGAAUCAGCAUGUGUGUUAGUGGAAGCGUCUGGAAAGGCGCGCGAUACAGGGUGACAGCCCCGUACACAAAAGCGCAUGUGCUGUGAGCUCGAUGAGUAGGGCGGGACACGUGGUAUCCUGUCUGAAUAUGGGGGGACCAUCCUCCAAGGCUAAAUACUCCUGACUGACCGAUAGUGAACCAGUACCGUGAGGGAAAGGCGAAAAGAACCCCGGCGAGGGGAGUGAAAAAGAACCUGAAACCGUGUACGUACAAGCAGUGGGAGCCCCACCACUAAGCCAGUGGUGAACUCCACAUCCGCAUCCUUUGCUGAGGAUACGGUUAACGGAGCGAAAGCGACGUUCAACCGCAAAACAAGCAGAGGGGGCUUAGUGGUGGGGUGACUGCGUACCUUUUGUAUAAUGGGUCAGCGACUUAUAUUCUGUAGCAAGGUUAACCGAAUAGGGGAGCCGGAGGGAAACCGAGUCUUAAUUGGGCGUUAAGUUGCAGGGUAUAGACCCGAAACCCGGUGAUCUAGCCAUGGGCAGGUUGAAGGUUGGGUAACACUAACUGGAGGACCGAACCGACUAAUGUUGAAAAAUUAGCGGAUGACCUGUGGCUGGGGGUGAAAGGCCAAUCAAACCGGGAGAUAGCUGGUUCUCCCCGAAAGCUAUUUAGGUAGCGCCUCGUGAAUUCAUCUCCGGGGGUAGAGCACUGUUUCGGCUAGGGGGCCAUCCCGGCUUACCAACCCGAUGCAAACUGCGAAUACCGGAGAAUGUUAUCACGGGAGACACACGGCGGGUGCUAACGUCCGUCGUGAAGAGGGAAACAACCCAGACCGCCAGCUAAGGUCCCAAAGUCAUGGUUAAGUGGGAAACGAUGUGGGAAGGCCCAGACAGCCAGGAUGUUGGCUUAGAAGCAGCCAUCAUUUAAAGAAAGCGUAAUAGCUCACUGGUCGAGUCGGCCUGCGCGGAAGAUGUAACGGGGCUAAACCAUGCACCGAAGCUGCGGCAGCGAACGUAUCACCCAAGACAACUUUACGGAGUUGACGAUUGACGGAGCGAAGCGACGUCAAAGCGUUCAUUAAAGUCGAGUUGGCUUAGGGAUACGUUCGUUGGGUAGGGGAGCGUUCUGUAAGCCUGUGAAGGUGUGUCGUGAGGCAUGCUGGAGGUAUCAGAAGUGCGAAUGCUGACAUAAGUAACGAUAAAGCGGGUGAAAAGCCCGCUCGCCGGAAGACCAAGGGUUCCUGUCCAACGUUAAUCGGGGCAGGGUGAGUCGACCCCUAAGGCGAGGCCGAAAGGCGUAGUCGAUGGGAAACGGGUUAAUAUUCCCGUACUUGGUGUUACUGCGAAGGGGGGACGGAGAAGGCUAUGUUGGCCGGGCGACGGUUGUCCCGGUUUAAGCGUGUAGGUGUGUGUUCCAGGUAAAUCCGGUUCACUUUAACACUGAGGCGUGACGACGAGGCACUACGGUGCUGAAGCAACAAAUGCCCUGCUUCCAGGAAAAGCCUCUAAGCAUCAGGUAACACGAAAUCGUACCCCAAACCGACACAGGUGGUCAGGUAGAGAAUACCAAGGCGCUUGAGAGAACUCGGGUGAAGGAACUAGGCAAAAUGGUGCCGUAACUUCGGGAGAAGGCACGCUGACACGUAGGUGAAGUGAUUUACUCAUGGAGCUGAAGUCAGUCGAAGAUACCAGCUGGCUGCAACUGUUUAUUAAAAACACAGCACUGUGCAAACACGAAAGUGGACGUAUACGGUGUGACGCCUGCCCGGUGCCGGAAGGUUAAUUGAUGGGGUCAGCGCAAGCGAAGCUCCUGAUCGAAGCCCCGGUAAACGGCGGCCGUAACUAUAACGGUCCUAAGGUAGCGAAAUUCCUUGUCGGGUAAGUUCCGACCUGCACGAAUGGCGUAAUGAUGGCCAGGCUGUCUCCACCCGAGACUCAGUGAAAUUGAACUCGCUGUGAAGAUGCAGUGUACCCGCGGCAAGACGGAAAGACCCCGUGAACCUUUACUAUAGCUUGACACUGAACAUUGAGCCUUGAUGUGUAGGAUAGGUGGGAGGCUUUGAAGUGUGGACGCCAGUCUGCAUGGAGCCGACCUUGAAAUACCACCCUUUAAUGUUUGAUGUUCUAACGUGGACCCGUAAUCCGGGUUGCGGACAGUGUCUGGUGGGUAGUUUGACUGGGGCGGUCUCCUCCUAAAGAGUAACGGAGGAGCACGAAGGUUGGCUAAUCCUGGUCGGACAUCAGGAGGUUAGUGCAAUGGCAUAAGCCAGCUUGACUGCGAGCGUGACGGCGCGAGCAGGUGCGAAAGCAGGUCAUAGUGAUCCGGUGGUUCUGAAUGGAAGGGCCAUCGCUCAACGGAUAAAAGGUACUCCGGGGAUAACAGGCUGAUACCGCCCAAGAGUUCAUAUCGACGGCGGUGUUUGGCACCUCGAUGUCGGCUCAUCACAUCCUGGGGCUGAAGUAGGUCCCAAGGGUAUGGCUGUUCGCCAUUUAAAGUGGUACGCGAGCUGGGUUUAGAACGUCGUGAGACAGUUCGGUCCCUAUCUGCCGUGGGCGCUGGAGAACUGAGGGGGGCUGCUCCUAGUACGAGAGGACCGGAGUGGACGCAUCACUGGUGUUCGGGUUGUCAUGCCAAUGGCACUGCCCGGUAGCUAAAUGCGGAAGAGAUAAGUGCUGAAAGCAUCUAAGCACGAAACUUGCCCCGA
This 2972-nucleotide ribosomal RNA is filed under the name Salmonella enterica subsp. enterica. RNAcentral's name for it is "partial 23S ribosomal RNA". It matches the Rfam family "Bacterial large subunit ribosomal RNA". Lineage: Bacteria; Pseudomonadati; Pseudomonadota; Gammaproteobacteria; Enterobacterales; Enterobacteriaceae. The record is from RNAcentral.